AGUGAACGCUGGCGGUAGGCCUAACACAUGCAAGUCGAACGGCAGCACAGUAAGAGCUUGCUCUUACGGGUGGCGAGUGGCGGACGGGUGAGGAAUAUAUCGGAAUCUACUCUUUCGUGGGGGAUAACGUAGGGAAACUUACUCUAAUACCGCAUACGACCUACGGGUGAAAGCAGUGGAUCUUUAGACCUUGCGCGAUUGAAUGAGCCGAUGUCGGAUUAGCUAGUUGGCGGGGUAAAGGCCCACCAAGGCGACGAUCCGUAGCUGGUCUGAGAGGAUGAUCAGCCACACUGGAACUGAGACACGGUCCAGACUCCUACGGGAGGCAGCAGUGGGGAAUAUUGGACAAUGGGCGGAAGCCUGAUCCAGCCAUACCGCGUGGGUGAAGAAGGCCUUCGGGUUGUAAAGCCCUUUUGUUGGGAAAGAAAAGCAGCAGGUUAAUACCCCGCUGUUCUGACGGUACCCAAAGAAUAAGCACCGGCUAACUUCGUG
Molecule: ribosomal RNA, 492 nt
Filed under: uncultured bacterium
Lineage: Bacteria
Description: partial 16S ribosomal RNA
Rfam family: Bacterial small subunit ribosomal RNA
Source: RNAcentral